AGCAGCCGCGGUAAUUCCAGCUCCAAUAGCGUAUAUUAAAGUUGUUGCAGUUAAAAAGCUCGUAGUUGAAUUUCGGGAUCAAGGAAUCGGUCAUGCCUCGGUAUGUACUGGUUUUAUUGGUUCUCACCUUCUAAAGAACCAUGAUGUCAUUCAUUUGAUGUUAUGGGGAAUUAGGACUGUUACCUUGAAAAAAUUAGAGUGUUUAAAGCAAGCUUACGCUUGAAUACAUUAGCACGGAAUAAUGAAAUAGGACAUCCGAUUCUAUUUUGUUGGUUUCUAGGAUCGAUGUAAUGAUUAAUAGGGAUAGUUGGGGGCAUUAGUAUUCAAUUGUCAGAGGUGAAAUUCUUGGAUUUAUUGAAGACUAACUACUGCGAAAGCAUUUGCCAAGGUAUGUUUUCAUUAAUCAAGAACGAAAGUUAGGGGAUCGAAGACGAUCAGAUACCGUCGUAGUCUUAACCAUAAACCUAUAGCCGACUAGGGAUCGGAUGAUGUUUAUUUUUUAGUGUACUCGAUUCGGA
Molecule: ribosomal RNA, 518 nt
Filed under: uncultured Glomus
Lineage: Eukaryota; Fungi; Glomeromycota; Glomeromycetes; Glomerales; Glomeraceae
Description: SSU rRNA
Rfam family: Eukaryotic small subunit ribosomal RNA
Source: RNAcentral